GUGUGUGUGUGUGUGUGUGUGUGUGUAUUUGAGUAUGUGUGUGUGUCUGUGCAAACGUUUGCUCAACAGCCUCCAGUUGUGAAACGAGUGGAGCUGAGAUUAAAUAUUUAAACGUUGGUUUCCAGAAGCAGUGAAACCUGUGGAGCUGCCGCGGGGACCUGAGCCCAUGAUGUGACGUCUCUUCACCACCAGGGUCACGGAGGGGAUGGAGCCAUUUGGUCGAGAAGCCGUGAGUUUCUGGGACUGGAACAGAGAAGACGAGCCGGGAGGAGAAAGUCUUGCAUCAUCUUUGGACACAGGAUCAUGGUGCAGCUGAUCUUUUUUGUCUAAACAGACAAAAAGCUUUCAAAGGGAGGGGAGAGGCGGACGCUUUGUUUAGACCUCAUCUCUAAACAUCGGCCUUGUCUUUGUUUCCUUUCCUCCCUUACUGUAAACAGCUGGAGAGCCGUGCACGUAUGCCCAGUGUCAGAGCUGUUUAUCGGGGAUGGGAGGCAGAUGAGCUUGGGCUGGUGCCAGUCCAACAGCUCUGGACCGUCAGACGCCCAGGAGACUUGUAUCCACACGAGACUCGGGAGGGGCGGUGAUUCUCUGGACCAGCUUCAAGCUCAAACUCAAGAGAAGAGUCCAACGCUGGUUUUCAAGGAAACCUCCAGCUCUCCUCUGCGUCCAUCUUGUUCGAGGUGACGCUUCCCUCGUGUGAAACUUCCCAAGGCCGCUGCUCCUUAGAGGUUUAAAUGUUUUUUUGAUUUGUGCAAACUGGAACUGGAUCCCACAUGCAGGUGGGGAGCGCAGCAAUGUUCCCGAGUCAUCGUUCUCUCCAGUCAGACGACGGUGGGGCCCCAGCGGCUCCAGAUGUGAAACCAGUUUGCUCAGACCACUGGGACUCGAUGUGCCCUCGCGCUCUCGGUUCAAACCUCGGUGGCCACACAGGGAAUGCUCUGCAGGUGAGCCGGGGUAAAACCUGGGCUGUAAGAAACAUCAAAACCCACAUGGUUAAACCUCCACGGCGGUAAAACUUAUACGAGAGGCGGCCACCAGGGGGCGAUCCAGAUGAUUUGGGGACCCGACUGAUGUCGAGACGGACGCUAGCAGGGUUUUACCUCUCGUUGUAAAAUACAAGCAAACUCCACACGGAACCUGAACAGCGUAAAGAAGACGAGGCCUUCAUCUUCCUCCUCGGUGCUGAUCCCGUCUCAAGAAGAUUUACGUCCUCGCCGCCGGUAGCCAGCGCUGCCGCCAUAAAAGAGACUGAUCGCUGCACUCAGCGGUCUGCAAGUGCUGUUCGACACUAAAAGAGAAGAUGGAUCGGUAUCACACCUGAAACAAAUGGUAUUUCCAGAGAUUUGGUUGCUUUAUUUUGUAGAAAGACUUGAACACCUGAGCACACAUGUGUCUUUUAGAGCUGAAAGCUGCUCCAAGCAGUUGCUGCCUCGGCAGAACUUUCUCCAAACCGGCUUCUUUCACCUCAAAGCUCCCGGAGAUCAGAACAACAUCGUCCUCAAGAAAGAUGUGAAAACAAUUCACGAGUUCAAUGAAAAUCACUCUAAUCCGACCCGACACCCGCUGGUGGGUCCGAGAGGCUGAAUCCAACUCAUCUGGAAGCGAAAUCUGCAAAUUAUGCCGGAUGUCUUAACCUAGGACCGAUGAGAACCUGUGUCCACAUAAAAGUCCAGAUCCACUUGGACGAGCUGUGGGAUCCUGGCGCCGCCAAAUGAGAUCAAGCGGAGUGGGGGUGUAAUACAGCUGCAGGAAACCCUGCCACCAGGGGGCGAGCGGGGGAAACCGGCCAAAUCCUCAGUGAUGCAAAGUCCAAGUGAAUCCGCUGCCAUCGGAACACAUCUUUAAUCCCUUUUACAAUUAAAAGAUCUUAACGGAGCUCUAACCAACAUUUCCAGAUGAACCAGGGGUUCAUUUAAUGUAAUGUGUAGUGACAACGCUAACGAACACAACCAAUCAGAACGGGUUGAGAGAAUGAGUCGUGUUUGACCCCCUGUGGUGAAACUCUCCUGAGCACUGGUGGAUGAAUUGAAUUCAGGCGUGUUUACCUCGUCCGGUUCUGACAAAGAGAUUCAAUUCUUCUCCUGUUUAUUGACUUUGACAGUUUAUAGAAAAUCCUCCUGUUGUAUCGUCCUCGUUUCUCCGGCUCCUCCCUCUCCUCACCUCUCGUUCAGGCAGCCGGCCGCCACCUGACAACGCAGAAAGCCCUUUUCCAGAUGUGUGUGUCUGUGUGUGUGUGUGUGUGUGAGUCCCCUCUGACACCACAGCUGUCCGCCCAGCCCUGCAGCUUCUCCAUGUGCACGUGUCUCUCUGUGCAUGUGUGGGACUGUGUGAGUCGGUCCCGCGGUGAGGAGACAUAAUGGCGAUCGGCGCCCGGAGUUUAGGGUUCAGACUCAGCAUUCCAUGCAUGUGAGGUAUCGCAGCCCGGGGACGCACUCUGCAGCCGGGUCAACACGUGGCUGUCGAGACGCGUCGGGGGACAAAGUGAACGGCAAAGUUUUGCAACAUUUAGCUGCCAAUUUUUUGGGAUAUUGCUUCUUGUGUGUUUGAGCAAUCAUGACGUUUCACAACAGUUUAUAUAUCAUCAUUCCACCAAUAAAAACUAAACUUAUCAGAAGCGUGGGCGGGAUAAGAACGACCAUAAAGGACAGAAACCAGUUAACGUGCACUUUGACCUCUCUCGGCUUGGUUCAAGUCCCAUCCACUAACAUGGAGGAAGACGGGUUUAUGACUAUUGAGAUUUGACCAUAACAGUCUCUGAUGAAAUCUGACUUGUAUCUGUAUCUAAUCUAAAUGUUCCAGGCUAUGAUCACUACGUGGGGUUUGUUUCAUUCUCAAAUACAAGGUGUGUUUCUUGUUGACCCAUUUUCAACAAGAAUUGUUUUUCCUCCAAAUCCAAGACGUGUGUGUACUUGUACUUUUUUAAUAAGUCACUUGGAAAACUGACGACUGAGCAGAACAAUUAAAGACUUUAUUCCGA
Platichthys flesus (European flounder) is the source of this 2977-nucleotide long non-coding RNA. RefSeq lists it as uncharacterized. The transcript is spliced from 3 exons. NCBI's taxonomy places the organism in Eukaryota, Metazoa, Chordata, Actinopteri, Pleuronectiformes, Pleuronectidae. The record is from RefSeq and is a predicted model, not a curated record.